This 466-nucleotide ribosomal RNA is filed under the name uncultured bacterium. RNAcentral describes it as "partial 16S ribosomal RNA". It matches the Rfam family "Bacterial small subunit ribosomal RNA", at positions 28 to 507 of the family's 1533-position model. The record is from RNAcentral.
GACGAACGCUGGCGGUGUGCUUAACACAUGCAAGUCGAACGGUAAGGCCCUUUCGGGGGUACACGAGUGGCGAACGGGUGAGUAACACGUGAGUAACCUGCCCUCAUCUCUGGGAUAACAGUCGGAAACGGUUGCUAAUACUGGAUAUGAGCUUGCAAGGCAUCUUGUGGGUUGGAAAGAUUUUUUUGGUUGGGGAUGGACUCGCGGCCUAUCAGCUUGUUGGUGAGGUAGUGGCUCACCAAGGCUUCGACGGGUAGCCGGCCUGAGAGGGCGACCGGCCACAUUGGGACUGAGAUACGGCCCAAACUCCUACGGGAGGCAGCAGUGGGGAAUAUUGCACAAUGGACGGAAGGCUGAUGCAGCAACGCCGCGGGCGGGAUGACGGCCUUCGGGUUGUAAACCGCUUUCAAUUGUGACGAAGCUUUUUGUGACGGUAGCAGUAGAAGAAGCACCGGCUAACUACGUG